UGAGUAACCUGCCCAUCGCUCUGGGAUAAACUCCGGGAAACCGGGGCUAAUACUGGAUAUGACUCGAACAGGCAUCUGUUUCGGGUGGAAAGAUUUAUUGGUGGAGGAUGGACUCGCGGCCUAUCAGCUUGUUGGUGAGGUAAUGGCUCACCAAGGCGACGGCGGGUAGCCAGCCUGAGGAGGGCGAUCCGGCCACACGUGGGACUGAGACCACCGGCCCAGACCUCCUACGGAAGCA
This 238-nucleotide ribosomal RNA is filed under the name uncultured bacterium. RNAcentral's name for it is "partial 16S ribosomal RNA". It matches the Rfam family "Bacterial small subunit ribosomal RNA", at positions 118 to 347 of the family's 1533-position model. The record is from RNAcentral.